Non-coding RNA from Pelobates cultripes (western spadefoot toad), 239 nucleotides. The record is from the annotation of a GenBank genome assembly. Lineage: Eukaryota; Metazoa; Chordata; Amphibia; Anura; Pelobatidae.
GGCGACAUCUUGUGGUUAAAUUCUGCAUUACACCUGUAAUUUGAAUUUAGCCUUGAAAUGAUCAACUUAUUUAAAGGACCACUCCACACUUACAACCCCCCCAGUUUAGUAGUUACACCCCCAACAAAUACAUGCAUGUAUAUUUUUAUGUAUGUAAUCAUUGGGAGUACAGUCUAAAACAGCUUACAAAAGCAGAAGUUCUUAUGACUGCAGUCUUUGUAAGCCCUCCCCUUUUUCAC